Molecule: small nucleolar RNA, 145 nt
Organism: Salvia miltiorrhiza (redroot sage)
Lineage: Eukaryota; Viridiplantae; Streptophyta; Magnoliopsida; Lamiales; Lamiaceae
Product: small nucleolar RNA F1/F2/snoR5a
Exons: 1
Source: RefSeq, a predicted model, not a curated record
UUCUGCCCAUGGUAUCUAAUGUCCUGAAUUAUUUUGUUUCUUGACAUCUCGUUUUAAGGGCACAAAUUAACUUGGGAAACAGGUCUUGCGACACAGAUAGCUUCUGAAUAAUAAGCUUUCUGUUACUUUAAUCCUGCUUAUAUAU